This 309-nucleotide ribosomal RNA is filed under the name uncultured soil bacterium. RNAcentral describes it as "bacterial SSU rRNA". It matches the Rfam family "Bacterial small subunit ribosomal RNA", at positions 26 to 345 of the family's 1533-position model. The record is from RNAcentral.
AGAUUGAACGCUGGCGGCAUGCCUAACACAUGCAAGUCGAACGGGAGUAGCAAUACUCUAGUGGCGGACGGGUGAGGAAUACGUAGGAAUUUGCCCUUAAGUGGGGGAUAACCCGGGGAAACCCGGAUUAAUACCGCAUGACCUCGAAAGAGCAAAGUGGGGGAUCGCAAGACCUCACGCUUUUGGAGAAGCCUACGUCGGAUUAGCUAGUUGGUGAGGUAAUGGCUCACCAAGGCGACGAUCCGUAACUGGUCUGAGAGGAUGAUCAGUCACACCGGAACUGAGACACGGUCCGGGACUCCGUACGGG